AUACUUCCCUGGCAGGGGAGAUACGAUGGUCACAAAGGUGGUUUUCCCAGGACGAGCGUCAUCCAUUGCACUCUGGAUGUGCUGACCCCUGAGAUUUCCCCAAAUAUGGGAAACGCGACUGCAUAAUUUGUGGUAGUGGGGGACUGCGUUUGUGCUUUUCCCUG
This is a small nuclear RNA of Aethalodelphis obliquidens (Pacific white-sided dolphin), 164 nucleotides long. RefSeq annotates it as U1 spliceosomal RNA. NCBI's taxonomy places the organism in Eukaryota, Metazoa, Chordata, Mammalia, Artiodactyla, Delphinidae. The transcript has a single exon. The record is from RefSeq and is a predicted model, not a curated record.